Non-coding RNA from Candidatus Kaiserbacteria bacterium, 108 nucleotides. Lineage: Bacteria; Candidatus Kaiseribacteriota. The record is from Rfam.
UUCUGGUGCUUUGGCGGAGGGGUCACACCCGUUCUCAUUCCGAACACGGCAGUUAAGCCCUCCUGCGCCGAUGGUAGUCGAAAGGCAAGAGUAGGUCAGCGCCAGAAC